CGAAAAGACAGUGAUGCAGAGCAAAUACCCCAAAACGCAGUCUUAGUUCGGAUUGUAGGCUGCAACUCGCCUACAUGAAGUCGGAAUUGCUAGUAAUCGCGGAUCAGCAUGCCGCGGUGAAUACGUUCCCGGGCCUUGUACACACCGCCCGUCACACCAUGGGAGUCGGUAACACCCGAAGCCUGUAGUCUAACCGCAAGGAGGACGCAGUCGAAGGUGGGAUUGAUGACUGGGGUGAAGUCGUAACAAGGUACC
This 255-nucleotide ribosomal RNA is filed under the name uncultured bacterium. RNAcentral's name for it is "partial 16S ribosomal RNA". It matches the Rfam family "Bacterial small subunit ribosomal RNA", at positions 1248 to 1500 of the family's 1533-position model. The record is from RNAcentral.